Molecule: ribosomal RNA, 85 nt
Filed under: Iris ensata
Lineage: Eukaryota; Viridiplantae; Streptophyta; Magnoliopsida; Asparagales; Iridaceae
Description: partial 18S ribosomal RNA
Rfam family: Eukaryotic small subunit ribosomal RNA
Source: RNAcentral
UCGCGAGAAGUCCACUGAACCAUAUCAUUUAGAGGAAGGAGAAGUCGUAGCAAGGUUUCCGUAGGUGAACCUGCGGAAGGAUCAU